This 274-nucleotide ribosomal RNA is filed under the name uncultured bacterium. Its description in RNAcentral is "partial 16S ribosomal RNA". It matches the Rfam family "Archaeal small subunit ribosomal RNA", at positions 473 to 747 of the family's 1478-position model. The record is from RNAcentral.
AAACCAGCACCUCAAGUGGUCAGGAUGAUUAUUGGGCCUAAAGCAUCCGUAGCCGGCUCUGUAAGUUUUCGGUUAAAUCUGUACGCUUAACGUACAGGCUGCCGAGAAUACUGCAGAGCUAGGGAGUGGGAGAGGUAGACGGUACUCGGGAGGAAGUGGUAAAAUGCUUUGAUCUCUCGAUGACCACCUGUGGCGAAGGCGGUCUACCAGAACACGUCCGACGGUGAGGGAUGAAAGCUGGGGGAGCAAACCGGAUUAGAAACCCGGGUAGUCC